ACUGUGACAUGUGGUAUCUCAG
This 22-nucleotide non-coding RNA is filed under the name Arabidopsis thaliana (thale cress). The record is from RNAcentral. Lineage: Eukaryota; Viridiplantae; Streptophyta; Magnoliopsida; Brassicales; Brassicaceae.